Phyllostomus hastatus (greater spear-nosed bat) is the source of this 459-nucleotide long non-coding RNA. RefSeq lists it as uncharacterized. The transcript has 3 exons. NCBI's taxonomy places the organism in Eukaryota, Metazoa, Chordata, Mammalia, Chiroptera, Phyllostomidae. The record is from RefSeq and is a predicted model, not a curated record.
AUUAACAGCUAAAGUGCAGAGGCAAGAUUGGAACCCAAGUGUGACUCCAAAGCCCAGCGCCUUCUGCUUCACUCUGCUGCCUGCAUUAAGGGGCGCGUUUCAAAGUGCACAUCCCCACCUCCAGAGGUGCUGUGUUGUAAAUGAGUCACUUCCUUACUGCCAACAAUAGAGGAUGGAAUCACUAAGUCGAGGUGGAGGAAGCAGAAGGAGGGGUCAGCCCCACCCUUGCAAGACCAGGAUUGAGCCCCUCUGCCUGGAGCUGACAGCUGUGCAACUGGGCAAGAUGUGUUUUUCCUCACAUGUAAAGUGGAGAUAUUAAUACCACCUAUGCACGUAUUCCAAGCACUGACCAGCUCUGAGUUUGACAAGUGGAAGCCUUGCAGAGUUUCCUGGAUGUGCAGUAGAGAUGACAACAAUAAUGCUUGACCUAUCUUUGUCUUUGGUGAAUUAUGAAACAUC